This 254-nucleotide ribosomal RNA is filed under the name uncultured bacterium. RNAcentral's name for it is "partial 16S ribosomal RNA". It matches the Rfam family "Bacterial small subunit ribosomal RNA", at positions 524 to 777 of the family's 1533-position model. The record is from RNAcentral.
UACGUAGGGGGCAAGCGUUGUCCGGAUUUAUUGGGCGUAAAGCGCUCGCAGGUGGUUCGUCGCGUCGUGCGUGAAAGACCCCGGCUCAACUGGGGAGGGUCGUGCGAUACGGGCGGACUGGAGGCCAGUAGGGGGAUGCGGAAUUCCGGGUGUAGUGGUGGAAUGCGUAGAGAUCCGGAGGAACACCAGCGGCGAAGGCGGCAUCCUGGACUGGUCCUGACACUCAGGAGCGAAAGCGUGGGGAGCGAGUCCGG